GCUAGCGUUGUUCGGAAUCACUGGGCGUAAAGCGCACGUAGGCGGUUGUGUCAGUCAGGGGUGAAAUCCCGGAGCUCAACUUCGGAACUGCCCUUGAUACAGCACGUCUUGAGUCCGGAAGAGGUGGGUGGAAUUCCUAGUGUAGAGGUGAAAUUCGUAGAUAUUAGGAAGAACACCGGUGGCGAAGGCGGCCCACUGGUCCGGUACUGACGCUGAGGUGCGAAAGCGUGGGGAGCAAACAGG
Molecule: ribosomal RNA, 243 nt
Filed under: uncultured bacterium
Lineage: Bacteria
Description: partial 16S ribosomal RNA
Rfam family: Bacterial small subunit ribosomal RNA
Source: RNAcentral